RNAcentral lists this ribosomal RNA (524 nucleotides) under uncultured bacterium. RNAcentral's name for it is "partial 16S ribosomal RNA". It matches the Rfam family "Bacterial small subunit ribosomal RNA", at positions 28 to 523 of the family's 1533-position model. The record is from RNAcentral.
GACGAACGCUGGCGGCGUGCCUAAUACAUGCAAGUCGAACGAAGCUGUUUUAACUGGUGCUUGCACCGACUUAAACAACUGAGUGGCGAACGGGUGAGUAACACGUGGGUAACCUGCCCCAAAGCGGGGGAUAACAUUUGGAAACAGAUGCUAAUACCGCAUAAUCACAGAAACCACAUGGUUUCUGUGUCAAAGAUGGUUUCGGCUAUCACUUUGGGAUGGAUCCGCGGCGUAUUAGCUAGUUGGUAAGGUAAUGGCUUACCAAGGCAAUGAUACGUAGCCGAACUGAGAGGUUUAUCGGCCACAUUGGGACUGAGACACGGCCCAAACUCCUACGGGAGGCAGCAGUAGGGAAUCUUCCACAAUGGACGAAAGUCUGAUGGAGCAACGCCGCGUGAGUGAAGAAGGUUUUCGGAUCGUAAAACUCUGUUGUCAGAGAAGAACGUGUGCGAGAGUAACUGUUCGUGCAGUGACGGUAUCUGGCCAGAAAGCCACGGCUAACUACGUGCCAGCCGCCGCAGUAA